Molecule: long non-coding RNA, 472 nt
Organism: Ipomoea triloba (trilobed morning glory)
Lineage: Eukaryota; Viridiplantae; Streptophyta; Magnoliopsida; Solanales; Convolvulaceae
Exons: 2
Source: RefSeq, a predicted model, not a curated record
AAAGAAGAUGCGAAGGUGUUUUUUCUGUAAAAAGAAAGGACACUUUAAGAUAGAUUGCAUCAAAUUCAAGAAAUGGCUUGAGAACAAAGGGACUUCAAGCCUUAAGGAAGCCAGUGGGAAGUGAGCAGACUAUCUUAUCCGGAAACAAGAUGGGCUCACAAGUUGAAGCGGUUGGAACGUGUGAAUUAGUAUUAAGUAGUGGCUUUGUUUUAAUUUUGGAAAAGACCUUUUAUGUACCAAGUUUCUCACGAAACUUGAUUUCUGUUUCAAGGCUUGUACCAUUAGGAUUUUCAUUUAAGUUUCAAGACAAGUCUAUUGUGAUUUUUAAUAAAUCAACUUGUGUUGGAAAUGGUACUUUGUCUGAUGGUCUUUAUCGCAUUAAUCUACAAAGCAAUUCUACAUAUAAUUCUUUACAUGUUCAUACUGGCACUAAAAGACCAAGUAUUAAUGAGAAUUCCUAUAUGUUAUGGCA